Molecule: non-coding RNA, 146 nt
Organism: Gossypium raimondii (Peruvian cotton)
Lineage: Eukaryota; Viridiplantae; Streptophyta; Magnoliopsida; Malvales; Malvaceae
Source: Rfam
CGUUUAAAGAUUUCAUCUAUUUAUACUAUUAAAAAUUACCGUGCCUGUAGAACUAACUAAAUAGUAACACAUGACAUGUCUUGUGUAUGUCAUGCUAAUGUACAAAGAUUAAUUUUUAAUAGUAGAAAUAAAUAAAAUUUUUAGCA